This 84-nucleotide transfer RNA is filed under the name Deltaproteobacteria bacterium RIFCSPHIGHO2_02_FULL_50_15. RNAcentral's name for it is "tRNA-Leu". It matches the Rfam family "tRNA". Rfam says of the family: Transfer RNA (tRNA) molecules are approximately 80 nucleotides in length. Their secondary structure includes four short double-helical elements and three loops (D, anti-codon, and T loops). Further hydrogen bonds mediate the characteristic L-shaped molecular structure. tRNAs have two regions of fundamental functional importance: the anti-codon, which is responsible for specific mRNA codon recognition, and the 3' end, to which the tRNAs corresponding amino acid is attached (by aminoacyl-tRNA synthetases). tRNAs cope with the degeneracy of the genetic code in two manners: having more than one tRNA (with a specific anti-codon) for a particular amino acid; and 'wobble' base-pairing, i.e. permitting non-standard base-pairing at the 3rd anti-codon position. The record is from RNAcentral. Lineage: Bacteria; Deltaproteobacteria. RNAcentral also lists the same sequence under 2 other names.
GCGGCGGUGGUGGAACUGGUAGACACGCUAGCCUCAGGAGCUAGUGGCCGCAAGGCUAUGGGGGUUCAAAUCCCCCCCGCCGCA